CCUACGGGAGGCAGCAGUGGGGAAUUUUGCUCAAUGCUCGUAAGAGUGACGCAGCGACGUAGCGUGAAUGAUGAAGGCCUUCUGGUCGUAAAGUUCUUUUUACAGGGAAGUAAAUUCCUACAAGUAACUGUGUAUGUAUUGACGGUACCUGUAUAAGCAGCCCCGGCUAACUCCGGGCCAGCAGCUGCUGUAAUACGGAGGGGGCUGGCGUUGUUCGGAGUGACUGGGCGUAAAGAGAACUUAGGCGGUAUUGUAAGUCAUUAGUCAAAGACUGGGGCUCAACUUUAGUAAUGCGAGUGUUACUAGAAUACUAGAGUAUGAGGGAGGAAUGCAGAAUUCCUGGUGUAGCGGUGAAAUGCUUAGAUAUCAGGAGGAAUACCGUUAGCGAAGGCAGCAAUCGG
RNAcentral lists this ribosomal RNA (401 nucleotides) under uncultured bacterium. RNAcentral's name for it is "partial 16S ribosomal RNA". It matches the Rfam family "Bacterial small subunit ribosomal RNA", at positions 338 to 731 of the family's 1533-position model. The record is from RNAcentral.